GAUGAACGCUGGCGGCGUGCUUAACACAUGCAAGUCGAACGAACCUUUUCGGAGGUUAGUGGCGGACGGGUGAGUAACGCGUGAGGAUCUGCCUAAAGGACCGGGACAACAGUGGGAAACCGCUGCUAAAACCGGAUGUGCCGAGAGGUGAAAUAUUUAUAGCCUUUAGAUGAACUCGCGUCUGAUUAGCUAGUUGGUGGUGUAAGAGACUACCAAGGCGACGAUCAGUAGCUGGUCUGAGAGGACGAUCAGCCACACUGGGACUGAGACACGGCCCAG
RNAcentral lists this ribosomal RNA (279 nucleotides) under uncultured bacterium. RNAcentral's name for it is "partial 16S ribosomal RNA". It matches the Rfam family "Bacterial small subunit ribosomal RNA", at positions 28 to 334 of the family's 1533-position model. The record is from RNAcentral.